UCCGGCUUAACGCCGGCAGUCUCGCUAGAGUCCCCGCCAUAACGCGCUGGCAACUAGCGACAGGGGUUUCGCUCGUUAAGGGACUUAACCCGACACUUCACAGCACGAGCUGACGACAGCCAUGCAACACCUGUGCAAGUUUCACCCCGAAGGGCAGCCCAUCUGAGUUAUCCCCAAAGGGCAUCCAAGCAUGUCAAACCCGGGUAAGGUUCUUCGCGUUGCUUCGAAUUAAGCCACAUGCUCCACCGCUUGUGUGAGCCCCCGUCAAUUCCUUUGAGUUUUAGCCUUGCGGCCGUACUCCCCAGGCGGCACACUUAGCACUUUUGCUACGACGCCGGUUCCGUCAGAGGCCCCAACGUCUAGUGUGCAUCGUUUACGGCGUGGACUAC
Molecule: unclassified non-coding RNA, 389 nt
Filed under: uncultured Phycisphaerae bacterium
Lineage: Bacteria; Pseudomonadati; Planctomycetota; Phycisphaerae
Description: contains 16S-23S intergenic spacer region
Source: RNAcentral